UUCCGGAUGGCGCAAUGGUUACCGCAACUGCCUAGUAAGCAGGAGAUCCCUGGUUCGAAUCCCGCUCCGGAAA
This is a non-coding RNA of Schistocerca serialis cubense, 73 nucleotides long. The record is from the annotation of a RefSeq genome assembly. NCBI's taxonomy places the organism in Eukaryota, Metazoa, Arthropoda, Insecta, Orthoptera, Acrididae.